This 1217-nucleotide long non-coding RNA is filed under the name Homo sapiens (human). RNAcentral's name for it is "HSALNT0047810". Lineage: Eukaryota; Metazoa; Chordata; Mammalia; Primates; Hominidae. The record is from RNAcentral.
ACAGCUAGAAGGUGCCACCCCGAGCCUGAAAGUAGGCCCUCACCAGACACUGAAUCUGCUCCACUUUGGUCUUGGACUUCUCAACCUCCAGAACCGUGAGAAAGAAAUUUCUGUUAUUUAAAAGGUUCCUAGAUGCUGGCAAUGCCAGGAUGGAUGAAUUACUUUCCUUGGCCCGGAGAGCCUCACCGUCUAGAAAGAGAUACAGACGUGCAAAUAAUUGCAAGAGAUUCCUCCAGGCAGCUGAGUGCACCUUCUGCAUACCUUUGAUAUCUAAUAUUCAAGUCAUAUCCCAGCCCUUGCUCCCCACAAGCAGACAGAACCAAGAAUUCUUCAACCUCUUCUGUCCUGAGACCCUGCCUGGGGCUCUCCUGAUUCUCUCAGCCACCAAGCUCACCUCCCAGUCUGUACUUUGGGCUUUUCCUCUCUCUGCAGGUAUGAAGUGGUCUACUCUGUUGCCGCAUCUUGUCUUGGGCUCUAUUAGGGGCUGAACCAUGUCCCCCACAAUCAAUCCUGAGUACCUCUGAAUGUAACCAUAUUUGGAGAUAAGAUCUUUAACGAGGUGAUUAAGUCAAAAUGAGGCCUUUAGGGUGGGGACCUAAUCCAAUAUGACUGGUGUCCUUACAAAAGAAGAGCCACCCGGGAUGCAUGCCUGCAUCACACACAGAAAAGGCCAUGUGGGGACGCAGGGAGAAGGCGGCCGGCUGCAAGCCAAGGAGAGAGGUCUCGGGAGAAACCAACACUGCCAAAAUCUUGAUCUUGGACUUCUAGCCUCCAGAACUGUGAGAAGGGUUUCUGGCUGAUAAAGGUAUAUAGGAGGUUCUGAAAUGUUAUUGAGUGAAUGAAUAAAUUAGCACUAGAAAAAAAGCAUGGACUUUGGAAGAGGACCAGAAUUUAAAACCAGACUAGAAGUGUAGAGUUGGGGGAACUCAACCCAUUUCCCACCACUUCCAUCGACCUCCUGUGGCAUCCUAAUGUUCAGAAGGAGAAGAACAUUCUAGAAGGAGAACAAAAUUCUAUCAGCAAGAAGUAUAAUACUCUUGUGCCAAAGGUGUGCACAAUCAGCCAAGUGACCUGAGAAAUGCAAGUCCUGGCUCUAUUGAGGUCAUCAAGGAGAAAGCAAGCCGCUGGCAAGUCAGGAAUCUGUCUCAAAGUAAACAUGUGGCUUGUGACCUUGAGGAUAUGAAGAUUAGGCUUCAAAAGUUUAAGUAACCCGUCAA